GCCCAUCAACGCUCGGUCACCCCGACCGCGUGCGGACAGUGGCCCUCCGAGCCGUAGAGGCACGGUGGGCUGAAGUGCAAGGCCGUCGACCGGGUUGGGACAGUAAAGUGGUGGGCUAUACAGCGCAGCGCGACCCUGACCCGUGUUGACCCCUGGCCCUUAUUGACCCCACAAUUAUGAUACCGUCGCUCCGGUGACGCAUUCGGACC
This 209-nucleotide unclassified non-coding RNA is filed under the name Cyperus isolepis. RNAcentral's name for it is "partial ITS2". The record is from RNAcentral. Lineage: Eukaryota; Viridiplantae; Streptophyta; Magnoliopsida; Poales; Cyperaceae.